AUACUCACGUAAUCGCUGUAUAGUAAUUCUAUGCAGAGGAAAGUCCAUGCUCACACAAGCUGCGAUGCUUGUAGUGAUCGUGCUUGACGAAAACAUAAGUCAAGGUAGCCUGUAUGGCUAACGGCAGUGAAAAAUCCUAACUCUUUUGACAUGGAUGAGUACACUUGAAAGUGCCACAGUGACGCAGUCGGAUUGGAAACGAUCCGAGUGGAACGCGGUAAACCCCACGAGUGAGCAACCCAAAAUUUGGUAGGGGCACCCUUGAUUAGGGAAUUGAACUGAAAGAGGGACAGGCAACUAGCCUGUAGAUAGAUGAUUACGACCGCUGUACGAGGCUGACCACCGUGAAAAGUACAACGGAACAGAACAUGGCUUACCGAG
RNAcentral lists this RNase P RNA (381 nucleotides) under Lentibacillus cibarius. RNAcentral describes it as "Bacterial RNase P class B". It matches the Rfam family "Bacterial RNase P class B". Rfam says of the family: Ribonuclease P (RNase P) is a ubiquitous endoribonuclease, found in archaea, bacteria and eukarya as well as chloroplasts and mitochondria. Its best characterised activity is the generation of mature 5'-ends of tRNAs by cleaving the 5'-leader elements of precursor-tRNAs. Cellular RNase Ps are ribonucleoproteins. Lineage: Bacteria; Bacillati; Bacillota; Bacilli; Caryophanales; Bacillaceae. The record is from Rfam by way of RNAcentral.